Molecule: long non-coding RNA, 13018 nt
Filed under: Lactuca sativa (garden lettuce)
Lineage: Eukaryota; Viridiplantae; Streptophyta; Magnoliopsida; Asterales; Asteraceae
Description: long non-coding RNA (LSAT_LNC006957)
Source: RNAcentral
AAGGUCUCUCUUCUUCAAGACUCAUUUGUACGUGAGUUAUGGAGCAAGAUUGGUAAACAGAUGUAUUUAGAGUUUAUACAUUCUGUGGUUUUAUCAAAUUUAUAUGUUUCUCCUCAUAAGAGUUCAUCUGGGGCUGCCUCUGUGCUUUUGAUUGGCUCGAGUGAAGAGCUUGGUGUUCCAGUUACUGUUCAUCAGGUUUAAUAACCACUAAACUUGUCAAAUUUUCUUGAUUACAACUUAUACAAUCUGUCUAUAUCAAUUGACUAACUCAUCACUCCUUAUCCAGACAAUAUUGCCCCUGAUUCACUGCUUCGGAAAGGGUCUUUGCAGUGAUGGAAUUGAUGUCAUUGUUAGAAUUGGUAAGUGUUAACCAUGCUUCUUUUUUGUAAACAAAUGAUUGUGUGUUUUGUUUGUUUUAAAUGUUAUAAGCUAACUGUUUUUUAACAUUCAGGUGGUCUUUUUGGGGAGACUUUCAUUGUUAAACAGAUUCUUCCAUUAUUGAAAAACGUUAUACGCUCAUGUAUGGAUGUCUGUAAUGUGAGUAGGCCUGAACCUAUGCAAAGUUGGAGUGCAUUGGCCCUUAUGGAUUGUCUGAUGACAUUAGAUGGAAUAAUGGAAUUAUUGCCAAAUGAGGUGGUUGUCAAAGAGCUAAUCGAGGUGUGUAAACACCAUUAAAUUGUAUAUAUUCCUGAUUGAAGAAGUGAUAUGAAUUGAUGGCUGCAUUUAUGACUUACCAGGAUGGAGGUUGCCUCUAUAUUCAGCUUCUCAUGAUACCCAAUUUGGGAAUCCCUGCACUUCAGGUGUUGUAGUCUCUCUUACUUUUAUUUAUUAUUUAAUUAGAAGUAUAAAAAUAAGGUUUUGUUUUUGGCAGGUGGCUGCUACAAGUCUUGUUACAGUUUCCCAACAGAUUGGACCAGAAUUAACAGCAACGUAUGUGAUGCCAAAACUUAAAGAACUCUUCGAAAGACUCGCCUUCUCUGAGGAAACUCGCAGUGGAAGCCAGAAAGUUUGUAAAAUUAGAAUCGAGGAAGAGCAGACACAAAACAGAAUGGAUCUUGUGUAGGUUUUCCAUUUUUGCCCUCUUUAACUUAUAAAUAUGAAUAUCUUGCAUUUUCAUGUUGACAGGUUGCUUCUGUAUCCACCUUUUGCUUCACUUCUUGGGAUAGAGACACUUCGUAAGUGUUGUACCACAUGGUUGAUUCUUGAACAGUUUCUUCUGUGGAAUCAUAAUUGGAAAUUGGGUUGUAUUUUAAAAAAAAAAAAAAAAAAAAAAACAGUAUGUUGCUUGCUUACACAUUAGUUUCAUGCCUUAGUGGGAAAACACAGAGGAAAGUUGUCGAGGUGGGAGAAGGGGGAAUCACAAGAAGAAUCCAAUGUCUGAAUACAAUCCUGCUAAAAUGCUGCUUCAUGGAUUCGGAUGGUCAGUCCCCCAGUCACAAGGAGAAAAAGGUCCGAAAAACUCAUCGCCACAUCAUCAUAAGCGGCAGGUGACAUCAGCAUCAGCAUCGGCAAUGUCUAGAGAGCAGGAAGCGUGGGUUUGGUUCCCUAGUCCUGCACCUAGUUGGGAUGGACCUGAUUUUGUGGGUCGAAUUGGGGCUUCCGAAGGUCCAUGGAAAAUCAGUGCGUCUGUGAUACACUCGAUCCGUGCCCACCAUGGGGCACUUCGUUCAUUUGCUGUUUGCCAAGACGAGUCUACUUUUUUUACGGCUGGAGUUGGUCCGGGGUUCAAGGGAUCUGUCCUCAAGUGGGAUCUAUCGAGAACUGCCUCUUCAUCUGGGUAUCAUGCCCAUGAAGAGGUUUCUUACUACUUAAUACUUAAUUCUUAUCUUAUUUAUUAAAUUUGUCAUAAAUCUUUUCAUUCUUAUUAGAGUAAUUUACAUUUCUGUCCCUGUGCUAUAAAUAUAAUGAUUUCUUUUGUCAACCCUUUUUUGGUCACUAUGGUAAUCUACCCUUCGUUUUAUUAUAUUGGGUUUGGGUAAAGGUUAAUAUUAGUGUAUAUGUUGAUAUCGGUCAGGUUGUGAAUGACAUUUGUGCCCUGGCUUCCUCAGAAAGAAUGGCUUCUUGUGAUGGCACAAUUCACAUUUGGAAUAGCCAAUCAGGAAAGGUUAUAUCCGUCAUUGGUGAAACCUCCUCCCUGACAUCUACAUCGAAGAUACAUUCUGAGCAAGCUAAUAUGCUUGAUUUCAGCUCCCUUAGUAAUGGGAUUCUAAGCACUAGUUAUGAUGGGAGUUUAUAUACUUGUAUGCAUCACCUACAAACUCUAAAUAGGCUUGUGGUAGGCACUGGAAACGCUUCUCUCAGGUAAAUAAUUAAAUCACUUUCUGACAACAUUUCAUUUCAAGCAAAUUAAACAUUUUUUUUAUUGUGGUAUUCAGAUUCAUUGAUGUUGAACAAGCUCAAAAGCUUCAUUUAUGGAGGAGCGAUUCCGUUGAAUCAAGUUUUCCUUCUUUAAUCUCUUCAGUAUGCUGUUGUGGUUCUUCAAAGAUGCAAUCUAAUGGAGCAUCUUGGAUUGCAGCUGGAUUAAGUUCUGGUCACUGCAGGUUGCUUGAUAUUAGGAGUGGAAAUCUGAUCAACUCAUGGCAAGCUCAUGAUGGAUAUGUCACAAAGGUAUGGUAUUGGUUGCUUAGGUUAUCUACUUUCAUUUAUUUGUUUAUCAUAGCAUUCUACUUUAAAUUCUUUUUUUUUUUUUUUUUUUUUUUUUAAUUACGGUAUUGUACUUUCCAAUCUUUUUUUCUCAUUAAGGUAUUGUAUCUUGAAAACUCUACGUAAUUGUUUAUAGCAUUUUAUUUUUCUUAUUAGGAAAUCAUACUUUGAAAGUUUAUUCAAAUUAUAGCAGCUCUGAAUAUGGAUAACUUGGUAGAUUUCUCAAAGUACAACGCUGUAAUAGGAAAAAUGAAAGUAGGAUGCUAUAGUAAACAAAUGCUUAUUUUCCCUUCCAUAUCCAAUUCAUGCAGAUAGCUUCUCCGGAGGACCACUUGCUUGUUUCUAGCUCACUUGACAAGACUUUGCGAGUUUGGGACCUCAGAAAGUAAUCUAAUCUUCACAAUUCUCUUAAGUCUUAACCAUACCAUACAUAUAUAAUAAUAACAAUAAUUUUAAUAUGCAAAUUAUCAUUUUACCUUAAAAAAAGAAAGCAAACCAACAUUCCGCAUUUUUUUUUCAGGAAUUUGGCAUCACCUCUGAUUCUAUUCGGAGGCCACAGUGAUGGUGUAUCUGGUUUUUCUGUCUGGGGACAAGAUGUUAUUUCAAUAUCCAGAACUAAGAUCGGACUUUCUUCCUUAUCUCAACAGGUAAACUCACUCAUGCAUCAUGCAUCAUGCAUCAUGCAUGUGCUCUUAAUUUACAGUUUUCGUCCCUGUACUUUGUAGAAUUGUAUGAAUAUGGUAUGGUCCUUGCAAAAAGAAAAUUUUAACCUUUUCGUCCUUCAAUACUAUAUUUGUCACGCUUAGCUUAGCUUAACUACUAUGGUGCUAAGUCCAUGUAAAAUGACUAAUAUGCCCUCAAAUAUACAUGACACGUGGCACAGGACGGGCAACAUCGGAUUACGCCACAAUACCUGUAUAUGGCGGACCGUGAAUCGAGGAACAUGUCAGUGCUGUCCAAUAUAACCAUUUUUCCGUUUUCACGCCUUUUCUUAGUGGGGACUGAAGAUGGUUAUUUAAAAGUUUGUUGUUAAAUACUUACAUUUUUUUUUGUUUCUUUAUUUUUGUAUAUCCUGUGUUUCACCUUCGUUUAAAUUACUUUACUCAUUAGAAUUGCAUUUAAAGACGCAUUUUUUUACUAGCAAAAUGUUUGUUGAUUAGAUUUUGCUGUAUAUAAUACUUGUGGAUAUGGGUAUUGUGAGUAAAGCAUCUUGGAUGGUCAAAGUCAAAGGCUUAACGGGCAUGUAAUUUUGGUCAAACUUGGUAAGCAGUGAAAAAGUCAAAAUGGUUAAUCUUAUUACCUUCUACGCCUGAAUGGCUAAGUGAAAAGGACAGAAAACAAAUGGUCUAACCAAACAAGAAGAUUAGUUUAGAUCCUCUUAUUUGACUAAUUCACCAACCAAAAGAUUAUAUCAGUAAUCAUUACAGCAUAUUUUAAACAGCUUAUUUGGUUGAUAAUUGCAUAUUCCCUAUAAUUAAAGGCACCCACGGAGGAUAUUUGUUGCAUUAAUAGUAUUAUAUUCUCGACGUCGUGCUGCAUGCGAAAUCUGUAAGCAUUAAAUAUGCAUAUCAUACCGAGUGGUUUAAGUAAUUGACUCAUGUUGCACUUGCAAGGAAUACAAUAUUUAUCAAAGUUUAACUUUAUUUAGAAACGUCGAAAAAAGUAGUUAUAUUAUAAACUAAAAUAUAAAAUCGAUUUCCUCUUUGUUUUAUUAUUCAUAAUAUUAAAUGUGCGUGUCGGAUGUAAUAUUACCUCAUCAUCAAAUAAAAUAAUUACAAUUUGCGGUUUAUCAUAUUAUUUUGACAAUAAAAAUAUAAUUCUUAAAAUGGGACAGUUUAUUAGGAUAAAAUUUCAUAUCAAUCACCAACAUCUUUCCCUUUUCAAAACAAAACUUUGAAACAAUCUUCAUUUUUUUAUAAAAAAAUGAUAAACAACACAAUAUAUAUAUAUAUAUAUAUAUAUAUAUAUGUAUAUAUAUAUUCNNNNNNNNNNNNNNNNNNNNNNNNNNNNNNNNNNNNNNNNNNNNNNNNNNNNNNNNNNNNNNNNNNNNNNNNNNNNNNNNNNNNNNNNNNNNNNNNNNNNNNNNNNNNNNNNNNNNNNNNUUUUUCGUUUUUUUUUUUAAUUUUUAAGAAGCUAUUUUUAUCGAAAAAUUAUUUUAAAUAUACCAAAAUUCAUGAUUUUUUAUUCUCUACAAAUAGACAUCCAUAUUGAUAUAGUUUUAAAAUAAAAUAAUAAUUUUUUUUUUUUUUUUAUAUUUUCAGCUAUCAUUAUUCAUAAGUGAAUUNUAUUCAUAAGUGAAUAAAAAUGAAUCAAGUUUUUUCUACAGUACAUUCGUUAUUCACUUAUGAAUAAAAACUAUGAUUAAUUUUUUUUACAUUUUAAGUAUCAUUCAUAUAUGAAUAUAGCAUAUACUAAACAUAGUAUAUUCAUAUUUAAAUAUUAGACGAUUCAUUCACUUGUGAAUAUUACAUAGUAUAUUCACUUGUGAAUAUUAGAUGAUAUAUUCACUUAUGAAUAUUAGAUAAUAUUUUCAUAUCUGAAUAUUACAUAGUAUUACAUGGUAUAUCACAUGUGAAUAAUACAUAGUAUAUUCACUUGUGAAUAUUAGAUGAUAUAUUCACCUAUGAAUAUUACACAGUAUAUUCACAUAUGAAUAUUACAAUGUGUUUUCACAAAUAUAUAUAAUUUUUAAAUGUUAUUUACAUAUGAAUAACAUACAGACUUGCAUAUUCGUUUUUUUGUUUUAAUAAUCAUAUACUGAUUCAAGUGAGAAAACAUAUUCAUAUAUGAAUAUAAUGUGGUAAUUUAGUUUGUGCAUUUCAUCAAACAGUUGGAGUGUAUACAAGUUAACUAUUUUUAAAAUGUUAAAAACAUCAAGUUAUUAAUUCCAAAUCAUCAUAUACUUCCGUUUCGACAUCAGAUGCGACACCUAUGUCUGAUCGAUUUCUCAUUUUGGAUUUGAUUUCCGAAAAUCCGAUUGGGAACCUGUGAGUACCGAUUCUGAGUCCUUCAAUGUCGACCGUGACUGCGAGUCAAGAACUCCGAUUCCAAUUUCAUGAACAGCGAAGAAAUUCCGAUUCCAACUGAUUUUGUUUGCGAAUCUGAGAAAUUCCAGUUCCAAACUUUAUCAAAUCGAUGAAAUUGAUGAAUUUGGGUUGCGAAUUUGUCUUGAACGACGAACCUCCCAUCUACGAAUAUUGAUGAUUGAUUAACACUAGAUGACAAUGGUGAUAGUUUAGUUGAAGAAAUUUGGAUGAUUGUUGAAGAUUAGAGGAGAAAUUUUGAGGAUGAACGAACUGUUAUCGAAUUCUCUAUAGUUACGUAUUUGACAUUGAAGGUUAUUAACAUAUUUACAAGUCUGCCACCGUGUCUUUUUAUGCUUAGAUAAAUGAGUGGCUGAGAAUGAUUCCCCCAUUCUCAACCUUUUUUAUUUUCUCAAUUGAACCCACCUCUCUCUCUCUCUCUCUCUCUAUAUAUAUAUAUAUAUAUAUAUAUAUAUGUAACACCGUAAAUUUCAANNNNNNNNNNNNNNNNNNNNNNNNNNNNNNNNNNNNNNNNNNNNNNNNNNNNNNNNNNNNNNNNNNNNNNNNNNNNNNNNNNNNNNNNNNNNNNNNNNNNNNNNNNNNNNNNNNNNNNNNNNNNNNNNNNNNNNNNNNNNNNNNNNNNNNNNNNNNNNNNNNNNNNNNNNNNNNNNNNNNNNNNNNNNNNNNNNNNNNNNNNNNNNNNNNNNNNNNNNNNNNNNNNNNNNNNNNNNNNNNNNNNNNNNNNNNNNNNNNNNNNNNNNNNNNNNNNNNNNNNNNNNNNNNNNNNNNNNNNNNNNNNNNNNNNNNNNNAUAAUAAUAAUUAUAAUUUGGUAAUUAGGUUAAAUAAAUAUCAAAUCUAAAGUGUAUUCAUAUAUAAACUAAAUUUCAAUAUUAAAAUAAUAUCUUUAAUUCUACUUAUAAAAUUAUGUUUUUUAACUUUUAACAUAUUAUACGUAAUUUAUUAGUUUUAAUAUAUCAAAUCUAAUAAUGAUUGUAAGUUGGUUAAUAAGGUUAGUUUUAACAUAUUAUACGUAAUUUAUUAGUUUUAAAAUUAAAAUAAUAUAUUUAAUUCUACUUAUAAAAUGUUGUUGCAUGUAAACCAUUAUCAGUUUAAAGCUACAAUUUUUGAACAGUUUGGACAAAAUACUUAAAUUGUUAAUUUAAAUAUAACAUUACAGUGUCAACUUAAAUAUAAAUUUCAGUUCCACUAAAAAAACCAAAUAAUAUUUUGUAAAUAGUUAAAAGUGAUAAAUUAUAGUGAUAAAUGCAAAAACUAAAUUGUAAUAUCAGUUUAACUAAAAUAUUUCCUAAAUAUAUUUAUAUAAUCGUUAAAAAUUUUCAAAUAAGUAGCUUAAAAUAACUUAUAAUAACAAUAGUUAAAAAUAACUCUAUAUAAAUGAUUAUAUUGUUACCUUUAAAAUCAAAAAAUAAUGUUUGAUGUUUUAAAUAAUUAUAAUGAUAGAAAUUAAAACAUUAAGCAAAUAAAUUUUAAAAAAUUAGUUAAAAAUAACAACUAUAAAUAAUAUUAAACCAUAUAUAAUAUUUAAUUUUAUUGAUGUGUAACUCGCGAGUAGAAGUCAUUCAAACGAUUGAGAUUAUGACGUUAUAAUAGAUUUAUAUAUUAUCAUAUAAUUCAAAAUAAUCAAUAUAUUAUAUCAAAUUAAUAUACGAAUUAUUAUAUCAAAUUUAACAACAACGUUAGUGUUAUAUUUUAAAAAAUAUAUAUUUGUAAAGACUUCAACUAUAUAGGUGUUUCUGUGCAUUACAAUGUCAACUCAAAUAUAAAUUUCAGUUCCAUUUAAAAAAAACUAAAGAAUAUUUUGUAAAUAGUUAAAAGUGAUAAAUUGUAGUGAUAAAAGCAAAAACUAAAUUGUAAUUUCAAUUUAACUAAAAUAUUUCUUAAAUAUAUUUUUAUAAUCGUUAAAAGUUUCCAAAUAAGUAGCUUAAAAUAACUUACAAUAACAAUAGUUAAAAACAACUUUAUAUAAAUGAUUAUAUUGUUAGCUUUAAAAUAAAAAACAAUGUUUGAUGUUUUAAAUAAUUAUAAUGAUAGAAAUUAAAACAUUAAGCAAAUAAAUUUAAAAAAAUUAAUUAACAAUAAAAACAACUAUAAAUAACAUCAAAUCAUAUAUUAUAUUUAAUUUUAUUCAUGUGUAACUCGCGGGAAGAAGUCAUUCAAACGAUUGAAAUUAUGAAGUUAUAAUAAAUAUAUAUAUAAUCAUAUACUUCAAAAUAAUCAAUAUAUUAUAUCAAUUUAGUAUAUACAAAUUAUUAUAUCAAAUUUAACAACAACAUUAUUGUUAUAUUUAAAAAAUCAUAUAUUUGUAAAGACUUCAACUAUAUAGGUGUUUCUGCGCAACGCGCGGGCAUUCGCCUAGUAUAUAUAUAUAUAUACAGAGAGAGAGAGAGAGAGAGAGAGAGAGAGAAUGUUUAAAAUGGGAACAAAUACUUCUACUUUUUGAUCAAUAAUAAAAAAAUUGGUGACACGAUGGUAAAAUAGUAAAUAAUGAGAAUCACAUGUCAUUUCGAUGAUCCUAACAUGAUAUCUAAAAAUCAAAUUUGAUGCUUCAUACACUAUCACCUAGCUCCAUGAGUUCAAACUCAAACUCUAGCACUACUAUUGCAUCUACCACAAUCACUACAUCCAUAUGACCACCCUCCCAGCCAUGAGCCAUCCAGUGGCGGAGCUAGGAUCAAAGUAAAGGGAUAUCCCAAUUUUUCUUAGGGUAACCUAAUUUUUUUCCGGGGGUACUUGGGUUUCCUCGGUUCGGUUUCGGUUUUAAACCCAAAUCUUAAUCGAAUUCUUAGCUAACCUCAAGUCUUGUUAUAUAAACAUGAAGUUGAAGUAUAUUUUGAUACUUAAAUCGAUGUGGGACUCAAAGUAGAUAUCAAAUAAAGCAUGAACAUAACAUGUUUAUAUAAUAGAAAAAAAUGGUUAAGUUUACAUGUGUUUAGCGAAUAAAACAAAAGUAAACAAAGAAUAUGUAAGAAGCGAGAAUUGAUCUCAAGACCUUUGCUUGAAUAAGCCAACGCCUUAACCAAUAGACCAACUGUUUGUUUGUGUUUAUAAGUGGAGGGAUACGUAUAUAUACACUAUACCGAUUUUUUUUUGAGGGAUACAUAAACAAAAAUUACACUACCGAAAAAAAUUUGAGGGGUAUCCCAGGCUACCCCGGGAUCCCCUUGGAUCCGCCCCUGGAGCCAUCGCCAUUAAUGAAAGAAACCAUUGCUUUCCUUCCAUCUCUUUUGCUUCCCCUUACUGUUGACGCCACACCACACCGUCGCUUCCCUACCACUAGCGAAAACCACCGGUGCUCGUGGAUCUAGAGCUAAGGAAAAUAACACUCUCAAAUUUGAUUAGAUCUGUUGUGUUUGGUGCAUUUCAAAUUUGAUCAGAUCUGUUGUGUUUAGCAGCGACAGCGGUGCCGGUAGCCACUGGUGGUUCUAGGGAUGAGCAUUUGGACCGGGAAACUGGCCGGAACCGAUACUGAAUAGAACCAAUCAUGUCGGGACCGUGAUGAUAUUCUUGUGGAUUUUUGAAAUCGGGAAUCGGUAGAACCGACAAAAACGAAACCGUAACCGAAAUAUUUCUCAAAAUAUAUUGCUAUUUCUCAAGGAUCGGUUCCAAUACUGAAGACCCGACAAGAACCGGUAGGAACAAAACCAAUAGAAUCGGCGGUCCGGUUCGGUUCCUAUUUCCACCAAGUUCGGUUCCCGUGCCGGUUCCGAUGCUCAUCCCUAUGUGGUUCAACUGUCGUAUCAAAUAUUUUACACUACCUCUACCUAUCACCUUCAUUAUCCUCGUUUGCUCUUACAUGUUCUUCGAUGGUAGAGUUUUGAGAAAGAAGUUAUGAAAACAAGAUGUACAUAUGGUGUUUAAUGAAAUGCCUUAGCGAAGUGUGUAAAAAUUUAAACACGAAAUAUGGAAUAUAUUGUAAACUUUUAUAUUAUCAAUUAAAUUGUGAAUAUAGUGUAAAUUUAAUUGCGAAUGAAUGUGUUAAAUUAAUAGUGUACAUUAAUGUGUGAUUUUAUUUGUAUUUAAGAAUUUAUGUAUAUUUAUGUGUUUCAUAUAAAUUAUACAAAUGAUUUUUUAAUUUUAAGUAUUUUUUUAUAUAAAAUUGUGAAUGAUGUACGAAUGAAAUAUUAAACUUUGAAUGAGUAUAUUUGAUAAAAAAAAAAAGAAAAUUAAAAAAUGAAAUGGAAUGAUAAGUAAUGCUUAAUUGAAAAGAAAAAAUAUAAAAGGUAAAUUGAAACAAUGGUCUUCAGCUAAAGGUCAUCGGGUAUGACUUUGUUUUUUAUGCGUAAAAGGUGAGGUGUCAGGGAUGUUCAUGCAUGAACACCGCCCCUUAGCCCAUAAAUGUGGUGUGGAUUGGAACCGGUUACACGUCCUUACAACGAAUAAGAUUCGAUUUUGGCAAACGGUCAAAAAUUGACCCGUUAACAAUUAAAAUAAAUCAUCUUUUUUUACUUUAAACUAAACUAUAUAAAUACCAACACUUUAGUUUUAUACCAUUUCACACCACAAAACCAUUCAAAUAUCUUUCUAUUCUCUUAUUUUUUUUUCUCAAAGUAUGGAUCAAAAUCAAAAUACUCCAACCAAUCUAAACACCCCACCAACCCCAAACACUCUAAAUGAUCAAUAUCAAGGUUACAUGCAAAUGUUAACAUCCCCAAUCCAACAACACCCUAUAUUUACCAACAUUCCAUAUCAACCAAACUACUUCCAACAACAAAGACCACAACAAUUCAAUCAACAUAAAUUCCAAGCUUUUCCACAAUUCAACCUCAACAAUUCCAAACCCAAACACAACCAUCUCAAAUCCCAUUAUCUCAAUCUCAACCUAUAAACCUGGACAAUGACGACGACGAACGGGUUGAAGAAACACAACUAUCUAGAAGAACAACUUGGAGCGAAGAUGAGGAGGAAGUUUUAUGUAAAUCUUGGAUUUUUAUAUCAUGUGACUCGAGGUUGGGCAACGUACAAACGAGAAACAACUUUUGGCUUCGUGUUUUAGAUCACUUUCACUCGCUUUUAGGAAGACAAAUGGGUCGAACGUACGACACAAUCAAUGAAAAAUGAUGUGAACUACGAAAUGGCUUGCACCAAGUUUAACAAUAUAUUUGAAAAUCUGAAAAAUAUGCAUAAAAGUGGAUGCAACAAUUUCAAUAUUCUAUCAACCGCUUGCCAACAAUACAAGGUUACCAACGGCGGUAAAGCAUUCGACCACCAAAAAGCGUGAGAAAUUUGUCGUAAGGGUCCAAAAUGGGUCCUUAAACCGGAGACUUCGCAUUCAGAAUCGACCACUGACUCCUCGCAUUCAGAAUCGACCACUGACUCCAACAAAAGGCCAAAAACUUCCGAGCCGGAUGUGGGUUUUGGUGUCGACCUCAUUAAAGACUUCGACGACACCGAAAGGGAGGGUCCAUCGUAAGUCCAACUUCGUCGAACACCGGGAAGAGACAAAGGAAAAAAAAAGGUGUCUUCAAGCGGAAAAUCGAGUAAUGAAGACGUACUUGCGGAAAAAAUUGAUAAAACUCUAAGUUUUUUACAAAAAAAAAUGAAGCAACGAAGGAAGCUCGUUGCCGGAAACUAACGCUUACUGAUCUUAAAAUUUUAAACAUAAAGCCGCAACCAGAUAUCAACCGGGAAAAUCUAGCUGCGUUUCUGAAAAUCCAACAAUAAGUUCAUGACAAGUAUGAAAAUUAGGUUUUUAACGUUUUAAUUUUUAUGUUUAAUUUUCUAUGGUUUUAAGUCAUUUCGGUUUAAAUUUCUAUGGUUUUUUGUUUUUUUAGUAAUUUAGGUUUGAAAUUUUAUGUUUUUAUGUUUUUUUUGGUUGUUUAAGUUAUGUAAUGUGAAAUAUUUAUUUAUGUUUAUUAAUUAUGUUUUUUAUUUAAUCUAAAUAUAAAAAAAAUAUAAACGAUGUAGAUUAAUAACCAUUUCCUAGGACUAGUAGACAUGUAGUGGAGGUGAUAUGGUGCGUAUAUGUCAUCACAUUUUUCUAGUGAACAUCUACACCCUUAUAGUUAAAUAACAAUAAUACAAUUAAUUAACAAUAAUACAGUUAAUAUCAUUAUUACCAAUACAACAUGGGAUUGUUAGUUUUUUAUUUGGUUUAAGUAUAUAGACUAAAAACACAGAAGUAUUCAUAUGUCACUUGCAUUCUCAACAAGAAACUAAAAGAAAAUAAUAUCAUUUUCAUUCACCAACUCCUAAGUCGUAAAUAUGAAAAGAAAAAAGCAAACCAAGGGCCAAGAUGUAAUCUAAGCGAUAUUUGAUCUAAGAUUCCACCAACACACAGAAUGAAUCUGGCACGUACGUUCCAUCUUACACCACCCCCACCUCCAUCCCCGCCUAUAUAAGCAACAUCUCCACGACCUUUACUCCUCGCCCUUAGCUCCUUUGCUUUCAGAAGAGCAAGAAGAGGAAGAUCAAACCAUACGGAUUCAUCCUCUCCUUUCUACUCUUCCCAAAGGUAUUUGGACUAAUCUAAUCUAAUCUACUCCCUUUCUCUGGAUUCACGGCCGCCGCAACGCCGGAGAGUUUCUACGUUUGUCGGUGAUUGAAAAAUCCAAGGCCAAAUGUUAAAACUGUGUCGGUUUGCGAUGUAUUUGUGGUUUUGUUUAACUCGUUAGCCGUGGAUUAUAUGCUUACGUUGAUUCUCCCGGGUUCUUAAUCAUCUCUAUGACAUGCUAAGUUGCUGUUGAAAUUGAUAUGAAACCUGUUUAUCUUAGGUUGAAUUUGAUUUAUUCUAGCAAUUUAGUCAGAUCUGGAGCUGAAUCAUAGUUUACUCUGCUAGUUCUAACACCAAAUUAGCACAGAUCUAUCACUUCAUCAUGCUUUGGACUUGGGAAUUGUUCUGUGUCGUAUGCUUCAUGGAUCUAGUAUACACGUUACCUAUUAUUUACUCAGUCUGUUUAGGGUUCCAAGUUUUAAGUUAAAUCAUGUCACAAUUUCGUAAUUAAAGGUUUUGUAGCUUCGUUUUUAAGUGUUUUUUUUACUUACUGACCAAUUUGAUCGAAUAUUCAGCUUUGCAAUAAUGGAGACCUUCUUGUUCACAUCCGAAUCUGUCAACGAGGGACAUCCAGACAAACUCUGUGAUCAGAUUUCUGAUGCAGUUCUUGACGCCUGCUUAGCUCAAGACCCCGACAGCAAGGUCGCCUGUGAAACCUGCACGAAAACCAACAUGGUGAUGGUUUUCGGGGAAAUCACCACUAAAGCUAACAUCGACUACGAAAAGAUCGUCCGUGACACCUGCCGGGAGAUUGGAUUUGUUUCUGAUGACGUGGGUUUGGACGCCGACAACUGCAAGGUCCUUGUGAACAUCGAGCAACAAAGCCCAGAUAUCGCCCAA